RNAcentral lists this signal recognition particle RNA (248 nucleotides) under Microcebus murinus (gray mouse lemur). RNAcentral's name for it is "Metazoan signal recognition particle RNA (ENSMICG00000041936.1)". It matches the Rfam family "Metazoan signal recognition particle RNA". From Rfam's summary of the family: The signal recognition particle (SRP) is a universally conserved ribonucleoprotein. The record is from RNAcentral. Lineage: Eukaryota; Metazoa; Chordata; Mammalia; Primates; Cheirogaleidae.
ACUGGGUGUGGUGGCAUGCCCCUGUAGUCCCAGCUACCUGGGAGGCUGAGGCAGGAGGAUCACUGAGCCCAGGAGUUCUGGGCUGCAGUGAGCUGUGCCGAUCAGGUGUCUGCACUAAGUUCAACAUCGAUAUGGUGACCUCCCCGGAGUGGGGAACCAUCAGAUUACCUAAGGAGGGGUGAACCGGCCCAGGUGGGAAAUGGAGCCACUGCUGUCCAGCCUGGGUAACAUAGUGAGACCCUGUCUCU